RNAcentral lists this ribosomal RNA (467 nucleotides) under uncultured bacterium. RNAcentral describes it as "partial 16S ribosomal RNA". It matches the Rfam family "Bacterial small subunit ribosomal RNA", at positions 28 to 506 of the family's 1533-position model. The record is from RNAcentral.
GACGAACGCUGGCGGCGUGCUUAACACAUGCAAGUCGAACGGAAAGGCCCUGCUUUUGUGGGGUGCUCGAGUGGCGAACGGGUGAGUAACACGUGAGUAACCUGCCCUUGACUUUGGGAUAACUUCAGGAAACUGGGGCUAAUACCGGAUAGGAGCUCCUGCUGCAUGGUGGGGGUUGGAAAGUUUCGGCGGUUGGGGAUGGACUCGCGGCUUAUCAGCUUGUUGGUGGGGUAGUGGCUUACCAAGGCUUUGACGGGUAGCCGGCCUGAGAGGGUGACCGGCCACAUUGGGACUGGGAUACGGCCCAGACUCCUACGGGAGGCAGCAGUGGGGAAUAUUGCACAAUGGGCGGAAGCCGGAUGCAGCAACGCCGCGUGCGGGAUGACGGCCUUCGGGUUGGAAACCGCUUUCGCCUGUGACGAAGCGUGAGUGACGGUAAUGGGUAAAGAAGCACCGGCAAACUACGU